Molecule: ribosomal RNA, 461 nt
Filed under: Escherichia coli
Lineage: Bacteria; Pseudomonadati; Pseudomonadota; Gammaproteobacteria; Enterobacterales; Enterobacteriaceae
Description: partial 23S ribosomal RNA
Rfam family: Bacterial large subunit ribosomal RNA
Source: RNAcentral
ACAUAUUACCGAAGCUGUGGAUUGUCCUUUGGACAAUGGUAGGAGAGCGUUCUAAGGGUGUUGAAGCAUGAUCGUAAGGACAUGUGGAGCGCUUAGAAGUGAGAAUGCCGGUGUGAGUAGCGAAAGACGGGUGAGAAUCCCGUCUACCGAUUGACUAAGGUUUCCAGAGGAAGGCUCGUCCGCUCUGGGUUAGUCGGGUCCUAAGCUGAGGCCGACAGGCGUAGGCGAUGGAUAACAGGUUGAUAUUCCUGUACCACCUAUAAUCGUUUUAAUCGAUGGGGGGACGCAGUAGGAUAGGCGAAGCGUGCGAUUGGAUUGCACGUCUAAGCAGUAAGGCUGAGUAUUAGGCAAAUCCGGUACUCGUUAAGGCUGAGCUGUGAUGGGGAGAAGACAUUGUGUCUUCGAGUCGUUGAUUUCACACUGCCGAGAAAAGCCUCUAGAUAGAAAAUAGGUGCCCGUAC